ACCGAGAUUCCCCCAGUAGCGGCGAGCGAACGGGGAGCAGCCCGGAGUCUGAAUCAGCUUGUGUGUUAGUGGAACGGUCUGGAAAGUCCGACGGUACAGGGUGAUAGUCCCGUACACGAAAACACACAUGCUGUGAACUCGAAGAGUAGGGCGGGACACGUGGUAUCCUGUCUGAAUAUGGGGGGACCAUCCUCCAAGGCUAAAUACUCCUGACUGACCGAUAGUGAACCAGUACCGUGAGGGAAAGGCG
RNAcentral lists this ribosomal RNA (250 nucleotides) under Enterobacter hormaechei. Its description in RNAcentral is "partial 23S ribosomal RNA". It matches the Rfam family "Bacterial large subunit ribosomal RNA", at positions 228 to 516 of the family's 2925-position model. Lineage: Bacteria; Pseudomonadati; Pseudomonadota; Gammaproteobacteria; Enterobacterales; Enterobacteriaceae. The record is from RNAcentral.